CGGGACUUUUGGUAACUGAUAUCGAUGGGAAAGCAAUGGGAUCUACCUGAAAAUAUCAUUAGAAAAUGAUACUGACAGAUAGGACAAAUCAUGGUUAACAGUUGUGGCUAGAGUAAACAAGUUGAACUGUUUAUACCUAUACCGCAAUGGAUUGAGGCUUCUCAAUAAACUGGUUACAUCUGAUCUGCUAACAACAGCUGCUAAACAUUGAAAGGGGUACUGUGCUGACUGCUGUAUACACACUAUGUCAUUUGCUCUUCACAACCUAUAGGAUGGGCACUAGUUUUUCCCCCUUUUGGCAGAUGACAGAAACCGAGGCACAACCAACUUGUCUAAAUAUAGAUUACAGAAAUUUCACAUGUAUCUCUCCAGUUCACAGGAAGUGUCAUUCUCCUUAAUCACUUUGCUCUUAUCCUUGAUGUUUUUCCAAACAUUUUUGCUGAUGUUGAGUGUUUUCCAUUUCUCUGAGCUGUGUUGUCAGUCCAUCUCCUGAUGAAGCAAGGGCAGUUUGAAUGCUGAAUGGAGGUGGAUGAGGAAGGGGAACACUACGUGAAAAUAUUUGUUUUACACAGAUGAAAUGUUGGAUCAGAACGCACGGAACUACAUCCAGCUUGGUGCAGGGACCUGCGUUUGGAAGCCGCUGCUUCAGAGUGUUCCAGAGAACGGCAGCCUCACGCAAGCAUGAAGCGUUUAACUGUGCAACACAAAUCAACAACCUGGGCUCCUAGAAUUCAGGGUGAGGUUUCACAGAGUGUCAGAGUUGAAAAGGAUCUUGGGGCUCACUGAUGAAGCAUUAGCGACGAGGAGCCUGAGGCCAGAGGGAACGUGCCACGGACAGCCUGAGCUACAGUGCAGGUCUCCUCCCUCCUCCGCAGCACUGCUGACCACGGCUUUCCGUGGUUAUAAUACUGUCACUUCCCCGCUAGCCCAAGGAUCUGAAAAUACUUUUGGUAAGCCACGGGAAGGACCCUCCUCCCUGAGUCAGUACCUUUAACUGCUGUUGGAACAACUCCAAGCCUCAAAUAAUUCAAAACUGUGUGAAACACGUUUUUGCCUGAAUUAGGGUUCACACCGGGUGGCCUUUGUCCAGAGGCCAUGUUUAUUUAUUUAUUUAUUUAUUUUUAUUUUAUUAUUAUUACACUUUAAGUUUUAGGGUACAUGUGCACAAUAUGCAGGUUAGUUACAUAUGUAUACAUGUGCCAUGCUGGUGUGCUGCACCCAUUAACUUGUCAUUUAGCAUUAGGUAUAGCUCCUAAUGCUAUCCCUCCCCUUCCCCCCACCCCACAACAGUCCCCAGAGUAUGAUGUUCCCCUUCCUGUG
RNAcentral lists this long non-coding RNA (1320 nucleotides) under Homo sapiens (human). RNAcentral's name for it is "HSALNT0292026". The record is from RNAcentral. Lineage: Eukaryota; Metazoa; Chordata; Mammalia; Primates; Hominidae.